Esox lucius (northern pike) is the source of this 980-nucleotide long non-coding RNA. The record is from Ensembl. NCBI's taxonomy places the organism in Eukaryota, Metazoa, Chordata, Actinopteri, Esociformes, Esocidae.
CAGAUGAAGACAACUUGCUGGGCUGGGACGAUCUGGGUGUAGUAAAAGAAGUUCAGCCAAACAGAGCUGGACAUGCAGGUGCUCAAAUGCUGAAUGCCACACCAAAGCUGGGUAUUUCAGCUGUCUCUCCCAGGCUCACAAAAACAAAAACUGGUUCUCCACUACCGAGGUUAAAGACAAAAGGAGGAGCAAACAGAAAUGGAGAUCUGGUGGAGCAGCGUAUGUUUGAGUUAUGGAAAACAAGGUUGAAUAUAUCAACUCCGGUUUUGCAUCUCAACGGCAGAUGGAAAACAGGGUCAAGUCAAAUGAUAAAUUGGAUUUAUUGUAUCUGAUUUGCACAGCUUUUUUCUGAUUGUUUCACACUGCAUGAUUUUAAUUUUUUUUUAUAUAGAGCUCUUGUUUCCCAAAUCUGGUAUUUGACUGCAUCUUACCAAACAGAUUCCUUUUACAGUUAAAAUGUCUAGGGCGCCCAAAUGCCUUGCAUGUAACGCCAUCAUUGUGAGACCAGGGUUCAAAUCUUGCUUUCGGAUAUGCACAGGGUUCCCUUGAAGAGCUGUGCAAUGCCCAGCACCGUCCGGGUUUGGGGGGGUUAGUAAUCGAGUAGGGUUGCCCUCGGAUGGAAUACCCUGAUGAGCCAAAACAUUCUGACCACUCAUAGUUGAAGCGAAUGAAGUUGAUCAUCCCCUAACAAGGACAAAUGUUAAGGUCUGGGUAGACUAGACGCUAAGAAAACAAUCAGUUCUAAUAGUCAACGUGUUUGUUGCAGGGGAAAUGGACUGGAGUAAAGACCUGUGCAACUUUGACAAGGGCCAAAUUGUUAUGGCCAUAUGACUGGGUCAUAGCAUCUCUGAAACUGCGGGGUUUGUGGGGUUCUCCCGGUCAGCAGUGGUGAGUACCUCCCGACAGUGAUCUGAGGAGGAACAAACCACAAAUUGGUGACAGGGUGUUGGGCGCCCAAGGCUCAUCGAUGUGUGAAGUCA